UACGUAGGGGCCUAGCGUUGUCCGGAUUUAUUGGGCGUAAAGAGCUCGUAGGCGGUUCGGUAAGUCAGGUGUGAAAUCUCCACGCUCAACGUGGAGGCGCCACCUGAAACUGCCGUGACUCGAGUCCGGUAGGGGAGUGUGGAAUUCCUGGUGUAGCGGUGAAAUGCGUAGAUAUCGGGAGGAACAUCUGUGGCGAAGGCGACACCCUGGACCAGCACUGACACUGAGGCACGAAAGCGUGGGGAGCAAACAGG
RNAcentral lists this ribosomal RNA (254 nucleotides) under uncultured bacterium. RNAcentral describes it as "partial 16S ribosomal RNA". It matches the Rfam family "Bacterial small subunit ribosomal RNA", at positions 524 to 776 of the family's 1533-position model. The record is from RNAcentral.